This 2207-nucleotide long non-coding RNA is filed under the name Capsicum annuum. RNAcentral describes it as "long non-coding RNA (CANN_LNC008962)". Lineage: Eukaryota; Viridiplantae; Streptophyta; Magnoliopsida; Solanales; Solanaceae. The record is from RNAcentral.
UUCUCUCUACACACACAUUUUCAUACACCCACACAUAUUUGUUUUUCUCUCUCAAAUGCAUACACAAAAACACAAGAAAAAUCUUUCCUCAUUUUUCAUUUUCUCUCCCAAAAAUACACAUUCACGAAUACAUAUACACAUUUUUCAUCCCGACAUAUUUUUCUUUCUCUCAAACACACAUUUCUUCACUACACACACACAUUCUUCACUACACAUAUAUUUUUAUCAUACACAAAUUUUGUUUAUCUUUUUCUUUUUCUCAAAAACACACACAUAUAUGCUCAAAAUAAACACGUGGCCAAUGACAUUAUCUCUCCGUAGGAUACUUGAGGUCACCCCGUAACAAAAAUGGAUUUUUAUUUCUCAAAGUUUACUUAUUUACAUAAAAAAUAAAUGUUUGGCCAAUGAAAAUAUCUUUUCGUCGAAUUUUUGAGGCCACCCCAUUACAAAUCAUACGCAUUUUUGAAUGAUGCCUUGAACUUUCCAGUUGCUUAAGUCCAGCUGCAUUUUUGAAUAUGUAUAAACCUCCAUUCUCCUUACCAAUCCCCCUCACCCUACCACUCAAGAGAUCCUGGAAAACACGGUAAAAGGACACAAAAUAAGAUAGUUCCUUUGUGUGUUUGGACACAGACAACAAAUUGAACUUGAAAUAUGGCACUAACAUAACAUUUUCCACUGCUUGGUUCCCCAAAAAAAUCUGCUCUACCAAUGUGAGUUACUUACACCUUAUCUCCUGUAGGUAGGUGAACUUGGUCUUGCUGUGAUUUUGUUAGGAUUUGAACAUUUCUUAACAUGCAUCUACUAGAGGUUAUAUGGUGAGAAGCACCAGAAUCUACUAUCCAGUUUGGUGGAAAACCAGUACGGGACAUCAAACAAGUUGUGGUACCUGACAUGUUAACCUGCUUAGACUCUGUUGUAUCCUUGUACAGCAAGGUGAGGAUCUGUUUAUACUAUUUUUUAGUAAAGGGUUGUCCCUUUGCGAAGACAGUGUCAUUACCUUCAUGGUUUGUGGAUGAUUUGCUAGUUGAUGCUACAUGAGUGUGAUCACUAGAAAUGGUAUUAGCUUCAUAGUUACCUCCAAUACCUCCUCCAGGAUUACCAUAUCUAUUUUUUGUACCAUUACCUGAAGUGAUGUGAUUAUGCACGUUCUUAAAAGUGCCAAUUUUCUUCCUUUGCUUCCAAUCUACUGGAUACCCAAUCAGAUUAUAGCAAUUCUCUUUAGUGUGACUAGUGAAGUUGCAGAAUUCACAUUUCCUUCCUCUAUAGGAUUUUCUUUCUUGGUUUCUAUUUACAUUCAUGGCAAUUUGAUCUGGUUUCUCAACCAUAGUAGCUAUACAAGCUGAGUGCUGAAUCUCAUCCUCUAUUAUCAUGGCAUAUGCUUGGUUUAUGGUAGGAGCAGUCCCUUUUAACAAAAUCUGCCUUCGAGCUUGGUCAUAGGAUUCAUUCAAGCCACUGAGGAACUAGAUCAACCUCAUUUCUGAUAAAUGAUCCAUAUAUUCCUUCGACCUUAGACAAUUACAGCUAGGUGAAGGAACAACGGCAUCAUACUCAUUCCAUAAGGUUUUCAAUUUGGUGUAAUACUGAGAGAUAGAAUCAGUGCCUUGUGAUAAUGUGGUGAUUUCUCUGUGUAAUUGAUAUACUCGCAUUUGAUUUACCUUGUCAAAUCUUUCCUGCAGGUCAUUCCACACAUCAUAUGCACGGGUUGCAUACACAAUUCCACUAAAAAGAUCUUCACUUACAGUAUUGAUUAGCCAUGACAACACAAUAGAAUUUCACAUCUCCCAUUGCACGUGCAAUUCUUCACUGUAUGUCUCCUUUUUACAUGACCUGUAACGAAUCCAUACUUUCGUUUUCCCAUCAAGGCAAUCUUCAUCGACCUGCUCCAUAUGCCAUAGUUCUCAGGUCCAAUCAAUUUGAUUGGAAUAAGCACAGCUCCAGUAAUAGCUGAAGAGCCAAUGAACAGGGGAUCAUUUAGAUCUAUUUUUGGCGCCAUUUCUCAAUGUAAGGUUCUGCGAUUAGAUCACUUAGAAGAGAUCUCAACUCCCCUAUGAUCAAUCAGCUGAGUAGUGCUCAAUGUCAAUUGCAGAUGCGAAGAAGAAACACCCAGUCUUGGUGCUCUGAUACCAUGUUAAAAUACUUGCUAAGACUCCAUUGAUGGAGCUAAGAAGAGGAGAAGAAGAAUCAAAAAAUUAUAACUGUUUCUUAAA